Molecule: non-coding RNA, 45 nt
Filed under: Schistosoma margrebowiei
Lineage: Eukaryota; Metazoa; Platyhelminthes; Trematoda; Strigeidida; Schistosomatidae
Source: RNAcentral
AUCCAGCUGAAGAGUCCCAAACAGGACGAAACGUGCAUCCUGGAU